AUUGAACGCUGGCGGCAUGCCUUACACAUGCAAGUCGAACGGUAACAGGUCUUCGGAUGCUGACGAGUGGCGAACGGGUGAGUAAUACAUCGGAACGUGCCUAGUAGUGUGGGAUAACUACUCGAAAGAGUGGCUAAUACCGCAUGAGAUCUACGGAUGAAAGCAGAGGAUCGCAAGACCUUGUGCUACUAGAGCGGCCGAUGGCAGAUUAGGUAGUUGGUGGGAUAAAAGCUUACCAAGCCGACGAUCUGUAGCUGGUCUGAGAGGACGAUCAGCCACACUGGGACUGAGACACGGCCCAGACUCCUACGGGAGGCAGCAGUGGGGAAUUUUGGACAAUGGGCGAGAGCGUGAUCCAGCAAUGCCGCGUGCAGGAUGAAGGCCUUCGGGUUGUAAACUGCUUUUGUACGGAACGAAAAGCCCUGGGUUAAUACCCUGGGGUCAUGACGGUACCGUAAGAAUAAGCACCGGCUAACUACGUGCCAGCCGCCGCCGUAA
Molecule: ribosomal RNA, 498 nt
Filed under: uncultured bacterium
Lineage: Bacteria
Description: partial 16S ribosomal RNA
Rfam family: Bacterial small subunit ribosomal RNA
Source: RNAcentral